RNAcentral lists this long non-coding RNA (236 nucleotides) under Suricata suricatta (meerkat). RNAcentral describes it as "lncRNA (ENSSSUG00005012621.1)". Lineage: Eukaryota; Metazoa; Chordata; Mammalia; Carnivora; Herpestidae. The record is from RNAcentral.
GCAAUUUUGUGCCUCAGACCCAAGUCAACUGGUGUCCCCAGCAUUCUGUCAUGUAAGGUAUCUGCUCUACCCUCUGCCCCUUGGAAAGCCCUCUGGCCUCAAGCAAUGCAAAGCUAAUGAGUACUGAAAGCUGUUGGGAAAGGAGCUAAGAAAGAAGGGGUGCCCCACCCUCUGGACUAUAAAGUGACUGUGUAAGAGGCUGGGAGAGAGUAGAGUGGACAGCUGAAACGUGCUAC